AGUGUCAGCCGCCGCGGUAAGACGGAGGGGGCAAGCGUUGUCCGGAAUUACUGGGCGUAAAGGGCGCGUAGGCGGUCGCGUACGGCGGUGGUGAAAGCUCCCGGCUCAACUGGGAGAGGCCCGCCGCAACGGCGUGACUCGAGGGUGGUAGAGGCGGAUGGAAUUCCUGGUGUAACGGUGAAAUGUGUAGAGAUCAGGAGGAACACCCGUGGCGAAGGCGGUCCGCUGGGCCAUGCCUGACGCUGAGGCGCGAAAGCUAGGGGAGUGAACGGGAUUAGAUACCCCGGUAAUCCUAGCUGUAAACGAUGGUAACUAGGUGUCUGUGGUAUCGACCCCAUGGGUGCCGGAGCUAACGCGUGAAGUUACCCGCCUGGGGAGUACGGCCGCAAGGUUGAAACUUAAAGGAAUUGGCGGGGGA
RNAcentral lists this ribosomal RNA (418 nucleotides) under uncultured bacterium. Its description in RNAcentral is "bacterial SSU rRNA". It matches the Rfam family "Bacterial small subunit ribosomal RNA", at positions 504 to 920 of the family's 1533-position model. The record is from RNAcentral.